UACGGAGGGUGCAAGCGUUAUCCGGAUUCACUGGGUUUAAAGGGUGCGUAGGCGGACAGGUAAGUCAGUGGUGAAAUCUCCGAGCUUAACUCGGAAACUGCCUUUGAUACUCUCUGUCUUGAAUAUGGUGGAGGUAAGUGGAAUAUGUCAUGUAGCGGUGAAAUGCUUAGAGAUGACAUAGAACACCUAUUGCGAAGGCAGCUUACUACGCCUAUAUUGACGCUGAGGCACGAAAGCGUGGGGAUCAAACAGG
Molecule: ribosomal RNA, 253 nt
Filed under: uncultured bacterium
Lineage: Bacteria
Description: partial 16S ribosomal RNA
Rfam family: Bacterial small subunit ribosomal RNA
Source: RNAcentral